AUUGAACGCUGGCGGCAGGCCUAACACAUGCAAGUCGAGCGGAUGAAGGCAGCUUGCUCCUGGUUUCAGCGGCGGACGGGUGAGUAAUGCCUAGGAAUCUGCCUGGUAGUGGGGGAUAACGUCCGGAAACGGGCGCUAAUACCGCAUACGUCCUGAGGGAGAAAGUGGGGGAUCUUCGGACCUCACGCUAUCAGAUGAGCCUAGGUCGGAUUAGCUAGUUGGUGGGGUAAAGGCCUACCAAGGCGACGAUCCGUAACUGGUCUGAGAGGAUGAUCAGUCACACUGGAGGGGAGACACGGUCCUGACGCCUACGGGAGGGAGCAGUGGGGAAUAUUGGACAAUGGGCGGAAGCCUGAUCCAGCGAGGCCGCGUGUGUGAAGAAGGUCUUCGGAUUGUAAAGCACUUUAAGGUGGGAGGAAGGGCAUUAGGUUAAUACCUUGCUGUAUUGACGUUACCAACAGAAGAAGCACCGGCUAACUACGUG
RNAcentral lists this ribosomal RNA (484 nucleotides) under uncultured bacterium. Its description in RNAcentral is "partial 16S ribosomal RNA". It matches the Rfam family "Bacterial small subunit ribosomal RNA", at positions 30 to 507 of the family's 1533-position model. The record is from RNAcentral.